Amphibalanus amphitrite is the source of this 1383-nucleotide long non-coding RNA. RefSeq lists it as uncharacterized. The record is from RefSeq and is a predicted model, not a curated record. The transcript has 4 exons. NCBI's taxonomy places the organism in Eukaryota, Metazoa, Arthropoda, Thecostraca, Balanomorpha, Balanidae.
AGGACAGGGAUUCUUGCUAACUCAUUGUUCGUGAGUAAUGAGUUCAAAAACCAGUUUGAAAUCAUUAACUCUUCAAACGCAGCUUAAGGAAACCAAUGAUGCGCCGGUAAAUAUGAUCAACCGUGAAUUAUCCAUGAGCUGCUUUACACAAGCCUUACGCGUUAAUAUUACCGCCAUGACGCCAUCUUGCAUGUUUGUGCCGGAAGUGCAGCACGGGACGCGGCGGACGCAGUGAAUUGGAGGCUGGAGCGACUGCUGGACGGUGCCAUGGAGGCCACUUUCUCAGAGAGGCGACACCUCAUCGUCAAGAGGAAAAUCCCGAUGGCCACCAUCUGUCGUCGAUGAAAACAAAGUCUGGAAAGAGCUGAGUCGGAUAAAAAAUGCCGACUUGCAGGACACCAACGAGUUGGAACUCUCCCGGGAAGCCAUGACCCCGAUUGUGGCCAAUGGCGAAGGUGAAAGAGCAGCUGGAUGCCUCACAGAUGACGAUGCGAUCGACCAUCUUCUCUGCACCGUGCUAAAGAGCACCAAGUUGUGUUCACAUCGGCGCCGCAGCCACGGCCUCAUGUGGCGGACGACUUCCACGCCAUAGAGGGCGUGCCAGCAGUGCAGUUUAAGGAGCAAACGGCAAAGGUGAACAAGCUGCUGACGUGGGGGGCCGCGUUCACAGUGUUUGCGCAGUCGUUCAACCGCCCAGCCAUCCGUCUGGCCGGCUACCUGAUGUGUGCCGUGAUCCUGAAGACCGAUGUGUCGCCGCCUCCAAAGCAGUGGGCGGCGAUGACCGGCUGCGUUUAGGAGUGCACGGGGAGGGACAUGAGGCAGCACUUUAGGGACUUUCUGUCUCUUUUUGUGUUUGUGUUUCUGCCGGGUAGUUUUGCAAAGAAAUGGCGUUAAAGCUUUUUCAUGCGUGUAGGCCAAGUUCAUGUCUGGAAGGGCAUGAGCGUCGUGCUGUGUUCAUCACCCUUGUUCAUAGAUCAAUGAUGUAAUAGUCGUGGUUUAUCUGCAUGCUAUGCAUUGUUUUAAUAAACCUUAUGUUUUAAUGUUAUGACUCUCAUCUCAUGGGUGAGGCUGACCGCCAGGGGAUGAGUCGACAGAGUGGAAAAACCGGCGGCAGAGCGAUCUAAUAGGUGUGUUCACUUGACCAUCAUGUUAUGAGUUACAUUUAACUCGCGUAUCAAUCGUUGCAUGGCAUGAGUUACUAGCAAUGCUUGAAUUCGUCACAAACGGUAAACUCAUGUGGUAUGAGUGAGGGAACGAGAGUUAACCCGCAACUCAUUGGUGAUGUGACCGCUACAGGGCUAGUAACAUUUACUAGCGCCUCAUGUAGUCAAACGUGUGGUGUCUUCAUUAACGGUGUAAUAUGAGUAAGCCUAUACUCGCAUA